AUAUUAGGGUUUUAUUAUAUAGGAUGUAUUUUUGGAAUAGGAAGAUGGAAUAGGAGCUUGCUCCAUCCACUCCAUGCAUCAACCCGGUAUUGCAGUACCUUCAGGAAUGGUGCACUAAAA
This is a non-coding RNA of Myotis davidii, 120 nucleotides long. Lineage: Eukaryota; Metazoa; Chordata; Mammalia; Chiroptera; Vespertilionidae. The record is from Rfam.